CGCUCCCCGCUCCCCGCUCCCGUUUGCGUUCCAUAGUGAUCACUUCUUCUCAUCGCCAUCGCAAUGGUGAUCGCUUACCAGUUCCACCGCUUCGAUCAUCUCUUUCUUCUUCUUCUUCAUCCCCUCGAUGGCGCAGCCGACGUUUCUGCGUUCUCUGUCUUCGGCCUCCGAUUCAAAUUUUGGUGGUCGGAGGAAUGUUAGGGUUUCGACAACCGAGGGAGAGGCGCCACAAAAGUUUCGCAGCCCUAGGGUUUCGAUUUGCUCCAUCUAAACUUCCGUCGUAUUUGACAAAACAUUUUCAAUCUCAUCCUUAUACUUCUCAACCUUGUGUUUUUAAUCGCUUCUUAAUUUGUCUUUUUAUAUUUUCAUUUUCAUUUUCUCUGCUAUUGUAUUGAUUAUAUUGACCAAUCUGUUCAUGUUUUUUCCAGCAUGCAUCUAGUAGUGUAUACCACAAUGUUCAUCAUCCAACCAAGUUGACAUCCACGGCAGAUUUGGUUUGUGCUGUUUUAAACAUAAAACUGAGCAUAAAUUGGAGGAUCCUAUUUGUGAGGGAAAGGGACCGUAAACUUUCUAUGGUGAAACUGAGAAGGCCAUUGUGACCGAGACCGUUAGGAUCAGUAUGAUAGAAUGGAGGACGAUUAUCAGCACUUCUGAAUCACAUGAUAGAGAGUGGUCUCGUGAUGUGAAUCAUGAAUAUAGGUGCACUGAAAGAUCCCAUUCCAGAGAGUUUUAGUUUCUCAUGCUGCAGCUUGUUUUGCUGUCAAUCACUUUUCACAGCUGCUUGCUAUCAUUGGAGAACACAGAUCAGUGAUUGUGGUGAUGACAUUUGUGGAGCAGUUGUUAAUGUUAGACCUCGGCAGGAUAAAUAAUGCUUCCAAUUCCAAUGAAGCUGCACAGGUGGAAACUGUACACACAGGGCAUUGGCUGUUGUUUGGACUUCCCCUCUGGUAGCUGCUCUUGGUGUGUCCCUUACUAUUCCUGUAGCAAUGUUGGAAGAUAUCAUCCGUAGCUGGCAAUAUUCGGCAGUUUAUAUCAUUGGGUCAGCCCUAAGGCAGAGCCAUGGAAUUACAAUAUUUAUUGUUUCCCUUUCUGUUGUGGAGUGGUCAUUCAGCACAUCUGAUCUACUUCUCUGUAAGGUUCGCCUUUUCGCAUAUUUCAAUUUUCCACCGUCAUGCAGUAGUAAGUUGAUAAUGGCAUUCCAGUUACUUCAAUAUGCAUUCCAUAAUCAGGCACAUAUUUAUUAUGUCUGUCUGUAACAAAAUAAAUAAACAAUUUAGAAUAUUUAAGCAUGCAAGAAUUGGAGCUGCCUCAACAAUGAUAAGUUUCUCUCUCAUGAAGGAAUUUGAGUUUUUAAAGUGACAGGAGUCAGACUUAGUAUAUUCUUAGUAGGAACAAUCCGAAAGUUUUACAUCUUCAAUAUAUUUAAUUGAUUUAAUUAACUCAUCUUGUAAGUUUGUAAUUGAUAAAAGUUAUUUACGGGUAGACAUCUAAAAGGUUGUGCCACACCAUGUUUCCGAAGGCAGUGCUCCAUCAGCCAAGUACCAAAAUUCAUAAUAAUUAAGUCUGACUUUGGAGUUGGCAAGCCAUGUAACAUGAGAUUUUUCACAGGUAACAAAAUUAUUGAUAUCUCUCCCUCUGCAUGACUUUGGAGUUGUCAAGCCAUGCAACAUGAGAUUCUGUUUGCUAUCCUAUUUUGUGAUUUUUGGUUCUGCAUUACGUUGAUCUUUGAUUAUGUAGUAGCUUGGACGAUAAUGGCAUCAAUUCUGUCUAGUCAUUAUGCAGCUUCAUCCAUGCUCAGGUUCUUUUUAAUAAAAUGGUUGUGUUCAUGUUGAUGGUUCUUUUUCUGUUUGGUGAGAAUAGCAUGAAAAAUACUGGCUAGUCAUUACGUGUGUGUGUGUGUUCGUUUUCUGUGAUAAUUUUUAUUUACAAGUUGGCGGUGUAUUUUUCAAGCUAUUUUAAAAUGCUUACAUUGAAAAUUGAUUUGAUUUUCCGGAGAUUUCUAUAACUUUAUUUUUCAUUCAAAGAUUAGGAUGCGAUAUGGAUGGGUGGAUGUUUAUUGAUUAUUUUGGUAAGCUAAUGUUGAU
Non-coding RNA from Momordica charantia (bitter melon), 2084 nucleotides. Lineage: Eukaryota; Viridiplantae; Streptophyta; Magnoliopsida; Cucurbitales; Cucurbitaceae. The record is from RefSeq and is a predicted model, not a curated record.